UACGUGGGUGGCAAGCGUUAUCCGGAUUUACUGGGCGUAAAGCGCGUUCAGGCGGUUUGGCAAGUCGGGCAUGAAAUCUCUCGGCUCAACCGGGAGAGGUUGUCCGAUACUGCUGGACUUGAGGGCAGUAGAGGGUGGUGGAAUUCCGGGUGUAGUGGUGAAAUGCGUAGAUAUCCGGAGGAACACCAGUGGCGAAAGCGGCCACCUGGACUGCACCUGACGCUGACACGCGAAAGCUAGGGGAGCGAACGGG
RNAcentral lists this ribosomal RNA (253 nucleotides) under uncultured bacterium. RNAcentral describes it as "partial 16S ribosomal RNA". It matches the Rfam family "Bacterial small subunit ribosomal RNA", at positions 524 to 776 of the family's 1533-position model. The record is from RNAcentral.